UCCCGACGUUGCGGCCAAACGCAGGCCGCCCAGCGCCAUCGCCGCCACGAAGCCCUUUCCCUCCUGCCGUCGCCCUCCACUGCUCCAGCGAUCGCCGUCGCCUCCGCUCCUGCCUCUGCUCCGGCCGCCGUCUCCACUCCGACUAACGCGCUCGGCGCCCCUGCCUUCGAUCGACGCGCCCGGCGCCCCCGCCUCCGACUGACGCCGCCUCCGCUCCCGCCUCUGUUCCGGCCGCCGGCUCUACUCCGACUGACGCGCCCGGCGCCCCCGCCUCCGACUGACGCCGCCUCCGCUCCCGCCUCUGUUCCGGCCGCCGGCUCUACUCCGACUGACGCGCCCGGCGCCCCCGCCUCCGACCGACGCCGCCUCUGCUCCUGUCGCCCCGACCCGACCGACCCCGCCUCCGCCGCCGCCCACGACCGUCACCGCAGUUGCAUCUACCGGGCGUUGUCGCCGCCACGGAGCCCUUUCCCUCCUCCCAUCACCCUAGCGUCCACCGUCCGUCCCUCAAUCCUGUCGCCGCCGUCAUCGUCGGCGUCCACCCUCGAACCGUCGCUUCCUCCGUGCGCCACCGCUGCAUCUACCGGGAGCCACCGCUGCUGUGGAGCUCCAUCCAGUCCCACUCUGUAGGUUCCAUUCUAUAUUAGCAAAAUGAUUCUAUUUUAGCAAAUGCAAGCAUGUAGAACUUUCUCAAUCCAUUCCAGAUCUAGGCCGCUGCCUAGCGUCCUCCACAUCGCCCCCAUCCUCCAGCAUGACUGUUGGCACCGCGCCUCCGGAUCGACAAACGAUGUAUGCAGGGUGCCCGACAAAAUGCCUUGCCGUCUAAGAUCAUGUGCUCUAGAGAGUGUUUAGUGAUUGUUGAUCUUGGAGACCUGGAUUGUCCACAAUGAUUUGGAAGUAUGUCAAGUCAUGGUUAUCAUCGGCACAUCUUCAUCCUGCAUGUGUAUGAGGCAACAUACUUGGGCUGGUGGCAACUUUGAUCACAAGUUUGGAGCAAGGCAGUAGGCAAGGUGAUGGACCAAAAGGGGAUCAAGUCCAAGCUAUGAUAUAGGCAGAAUGAGAUUGCUGGAAGGUGGCAUCAUUUGUGUUAUCAGAGAAAAAGGUAUAUAUGCAUUCUCUUUAGAUGUGAUGCUUUCUUGCUCAAAGAAAGAAAAAAAGGAAAUUCAGUCAGUGCUAGCACCUUGUCCAAAGACGGAAAAAAAUGUUUUUGGCAGUGCAGCGGAUACAAUUUCAAUUCUGAAGUAUAUUGUCAAUUUUUGGAGUUUAAUUGUUGACAUACUGCAGCCCACAACUGCAAAAAUUUUGUAUGUUCAUUAUGAUGGGUCAUACAUAUAGUUUAGCAGAAGUUGCGUCUGUUUCUUUACCCAGUAGGUUUCUCGGGAUGGUUCAGUCAUAUAGUAUGUAUUGCCUUUGCAGAGCUGUCUGCUUCACAAGCUCUGUAAUUGAUAACUAUGAACGGGUCUCCACACCAACAUUGUUGACAAGAUCAGGUCGAUCUUUCAUUCGUUCAGCUAUGUGCAUAUCGUUAAGUCAAUUAAGAUAUU
This is a long non-coding RNA of Oryza brachyantha (malo sina), 1544 nucleotides long. RefSeq lists it as uncharacterized. Lineage: Eukaryota; Viridiplantae; Streptophyta; Magnoliopsida; Poales; Poaceae. The record is from RefSeq and is a predicted model, not a curated record. The transcript has 3 exons.